GUUCGCUAUGUUCCUGGGCUUCAGCUAAUGUAAGUCAUUCUGUGUGUCCUAAAAAUAAGCCAUGGCUCCCAUGUAUCCACUGCUCACUAAGUGCCAAGCACUGGGUCACCCGUUUCACCUGCAUUGUCUCAUUUGCUCCCUGAGCUCUAUGAGAUAAAUGCUACCUAAUAGCUAUUUUACAGAUGAGAAAGUUGAGGCUUAGAGCCGUUAAAAACAGUGUCACAGGUCAACACCUAGUAAAGAGCAGAGCUGGAAUUCAAACCCACUCCCGCUAGUUCCAGAGCAUGUGUGCUUAACCCCUGAUGCCACCUGCUUUCUCUGCUGAAUGCCAGGCACCUGAGCUCAUCCCCACCCAGGCCUACCCUUCUCUAUCCCUUCUCAUCCCUACAGGCGUCUCUAGCACCUUCCUCCCUACCUUUCUCUUGCCAAGUUCCAGAACUCCCCUGCAUUCCAAGUCACUCAGAGCUUCGUGGAUUCAUUGCCUCCCUGUGUGCCUCCACAUCAUUCAUCCAGAGACGGGAGCCACGGCAGUUUGAUCAUCCAGCCAUCCACUCCUUCCAUCAUUCAUUCAUGGAGUCCUGGAAUGUCAGGGCUAGACGGGGCCUUCGAGAUUAUCUGGUCCAGUGGUUUUUAAACCAGGACACGUUUUUCAAAGGAAGGCUUCUGUGGAAGUUCUAUAGAGAAAUCAGAUCAACGCAGGCAGUGGGGAGUCGGGGGUGGUGUCCAGAGUGUCCUGUCUUCUCACCCCCUUGACCCUGACAGUUGGUUGGGGGCUGUGUCCAGACACCCACUCCAUGAGAACAUGUUGCCUUCAGUCACAAACUGUUGCAGCAACUCAUUCUCGCACAGACCUGGGCCCUAACCUCAGCUGCCACUCUCCACUCACAAAGCUACAUGACCUUGGGCAAGCAAAUCAUGUAAACUUGAGGCCCUCCAUCUAUUUCCUCCCCUGAAAAAUGGGAAUAAUAACAGGACCUACCAGUUUUAUUUUUCUAUUGCUGUGUAACAAAGCAUCCCAAAACAUAGUGGCUUCAAACAACCAUUGUGCUGUCUCUCCUAGUGCGUGUGCCGCUGGGCUCAGCUUGCCGGUUCCUUUGCUGGUCUCUCAUUGUUGCAGUCGAGGGUGGCAGCCAUCUGGAGGACCGAUCUGGAUGCUGGGAUGGCCGGGCCUCCUGCUCUCCGUGAACCCUCAGGAGCUCGCCUGAGGUCUCCAGCUGGAUUACCAGUCGUCUUACACGGCGGCUCAGAGCUCCCAGAAGCACACAAAUGGAAGCUUCCAGGCCUUCCUAAGACUUAGGCCCAGAAAUAGCACAGCCUCACUUCUGCCACAUCCUAUUGGUUAAAUUCAAGGGGAAGAGAAAUAAAUGCCACUUCUUGGUGGAGGAGUGACCAAGAAUUUGCAGUCACCUUUAACCCACAACAGUCUGUGUGACUCUGGGAAGGAAAAUUACUUAACCUUUCUGAUUUUCCAUCCGUGUUCUCAUCUGUGAAGAACAGAUACAUCGAUUCAUGGAAAGUAGUUGGAACAGUGCCUGGCCCAUAAUCUCUGUGCUGCCACUUUAUGGAUGUGCCUUUGAGACCCUGAAAGAUGCUUAGCCUCUCUUGGCCUCAGUUUCCCUUCUGUAACGUGGGCAUGUCUCGUAAGCCUCAAGUGAAGAGUAAAUGAUUUAUUUCCUAUAAAGAGCCGCAGCGUUAGAUGUGUGAUUCCACGGAAAGAUCCUUUCCAGAGGUUGUCCAGUCUCUCCCUGAAGAUGUCACAUCCUCUCCAGGCCAUUUUGCAGAUGCUCCUCACUUGAUGACCUGUCUCAGCAGACCAGCCAUGCCCAGUGUCAGGAAGGAGAUCCUGCUUGACUGUAGGGGAAGAAACUAGAUGAAGAAAAGUUCCCCAAAGAGUGAACUCUGCAAGUUUCGGAGAAUGAUUUGCAUGGAGAAAGGCAGGAUUGAAGUGGCUGGAGCCUGUGACUUUGUCUUUGCCAUCUCUAUGCGUCAUUGUUUAUUUUUGAACCUACUGUUUAAACACCGGAAUGUUUAGAACUACAGGAGCUCAUGAGAACUGUGACCGAAAGCAGCUCUAAUGACUCUGAAUUGUUACAAACUUCCUCUCGAAAUGGAGUGUAGCCGGGUUCUGUGUGUUCCGGCCUGACUAUAUACGCGGGAGUUCUUCAAAUGAACUCCCGUGCCUCGGCCGAUCCUUAUGGAAGGAUAAGUAAUAGAGACGCGCUCACUGGAAGCUCACGUAGAUGGUACUGAAACUCAACAGUAACCACAGCAAUUACUUAGAACACAGCACAACAGAAGACUUUUUUCAGGGACAAGUAUUUUAUCACUGACACAGAAUUGCUGGCGCACGGUGAUAAGAAAAAGGCAGAUUGACUUGGAGGCAAUUUUAUUAUUGUUUUAAAGUUCUUUACAGACAAUGAACCCUUUCAUUGCCUGCAGCCAAGGUGGACGGCUCCCACUGUCCCCACCCCUGCUUCUCCAUUGGGGUUUGCACAUUCGCAGCCCCAAAUUCCAGAAACCUUUGAUCCAAACCCUUCCCAAUCCAGGCAAGUUAAGAAAACAAAGGCAAAUAGCAAUACAUUUAAAUCAUCAUCAUUGUUGUUGUUGU
Non-coding RNA from Equus caballus (horse), 2608 nucleotides. Lineage: Eukaryota; Metazoa; Chordata; Mammalia; Perissodactyla; Equidae. The record is from RefSeq and is a predicted model, not a curated record.